This 116-nucleotide ribosomal RNA is filed under the name Pteropus alecto (black flying fox). Lineage: Eukaryota; Metazoa; Chordata; Mammalia; Chiroptera; Pteropodidae. The record is from RNAcentral.
GUCUACAGCCAUGCCACCCUGAACAAGCCCGAUGUCUGAUCUCGGAAGCUAACCAGGGUUGGGCCUGAUGAGUUCUUGGAUGAGAGACCACCUAGGAAGACCAGGUGCUGUAGGUA